This is a long non-coding RNA of Anneissia japonica, 679 nucleotides long. RefSeq lists it as uncharacterized. The transcript has 4 exons. Lineage: Eukaryota; Metazoa; Echinodermata; Crinoidea; Comatulida; Comatulidae. The record is from RefSeq and is a predicted model, not a curated record.
UGACGACGGACAUGGUGGACAAGGUGUAUUUGAGCACAAAUAACACCAUAUUUUGAUUAUGAUUUUUAUAGGCCCAGGGUAUAGUCGUGAUGUACGUAUCAACCAAAAUACUAAGGAAUGGUACUUGCUUCAGCGUUCUUGUGGCCAUUUUAACUUAAUAUUCUGGACGCACCACCUGUGUAGACUUUGCCAAAAAUGCCAAAAGAUCCACGUGAACUAAUGACGGGUAUGGUCGAUAGCAGGUAUUCUAACAGAAAACUCUCUAAUUUGCUGUAUUAUAGGGUAUUUUUUGAUGUAUAUUUUAACAAAACUACUAAGUAGCAGUGUAAUCACUUACCCUUGUGGCCCUAUCGAUUAGUGGUAUAAACGAAUUGGAGAAAAUAGCGUCCACAUGACUUUUGAUAUCACCGUCCGUUGAAUAUUGCAGAAGGUCUACAUAUAGUAAGGUCAGAUUGCCAUUACGAAAUAUCGGCUUCUUCCUGUCUUUAUACGCCUUGUGCGUUAUUUCUCUCAACGCUCGUCUUUUCUUGACAUCGGAAGCAGGAAGAUCUUCCAGUACAAAUAUAUGAGAAUUCUUACCGGUACGUUAAGAUUUAGAACGCUUAAGGACUCAUACCGUUCAGGUCUAUACUGUAUAUAAAUAAUUUAGCAAUGUGACUUGGUUUGUCCUCCGGCGAAC